GGAAGAGUGAAAGGAAGACCAGUAUGUGAAGAUGACCGUGUGCUUGGAGACAGAGAACAAAAGCCCGCUGACCUGGACUGAAGAGAAAACACCUGGCCUAAAGCGACGUUUAAACUUCCAUUUCAGAUCUGGGUCCCCGGAGAAUAUGCCCAACGUAGGCAUCGAUAAGAAUAUUUUCCUGAAAGAUCAGAAUAUAUUUGUCCAGAAACUCCUGGGCCAGUUCUCGGAAGAGGAGCUGGCUGCCGAGAAGAAACGCAUCCUGCACUGCCUGUGGCUCGCAGGAGAGAUCCAGAAACACGGCUGCUCGAAGCAGUGAAGGGAAGGGGCAGUGCUGCUCUGCUCAGCAAAACCGGAGCCUGAUCUUUAUCGAGAGUUGACCUUUCUCUCUAUUCUUACCAUUAAACAUGU
Molecule: RNA transcript, 408 nt
Organism: Capra hircus (goat)
Lineage: Eukaryota; Metazoa; Chordata; Mammalia; Artiodactyla; Bovidae
Gene name: biliverdin reductase A pseudogene
Exons: 1
Source: RefSeq, a predicted model, not a curated record